Molecule: RNA transcript, 1050 nt
Organism: Zalophus californianus (California sea lion)
Lineage: Eukaryota; Metazoa; Chordata; Mammalia; Carnivora; Otariidae
Exons: 8
Source: RefSeq, a predicted model, not a curated record
UAAAUUAAAACCAAGCGGAGCAGAGACGGUCACACAUGACACCUUACACAGUACUGUUCCCGGAAGUCGGCCGAGGUGACCCCGGAAGUCAGCCGAGGCGACCCCGGAAGUCAGCCGAGGCGACCCCAGAAGCCAGCCGAGGCGAUCCCGGACGCCCUCCAAGGCGACCCUGGCCCGCCACAGCCCUCGGGUCUCUGCAGGUGCUGUCAAGUGGGGAAGAGCUGGGUUACCGUUUGCCCCUGGCAGCUACCACAGGGCCCUCUGUCAGUGAUGCAAGGAACGGCUGCAAAUGGACGGGACAGAGGCCUAUACAGCAGGCACAUCUAGAAGCCCCACAUAGAAACACAGAGAACUUCAGCUUAGCCAGCAGCAAGCAAGAAGCUGCCCCAGGGAAGAUGCUGGGGCCAAAGUUGGCCUGCCCUCUGGCCCUGAGGCAAAGCCACAAGCCCUGCACUGACCACAGAGGGGUCUUCAUAUCAUCCUCGUCAGAAACCUGCUUGAUCUCUCCUGGAGGGAAAACCUGCCCAGGGGCCUUGGUCGUCACGGAGUCCUGGCGGGGCACCUCGGUGACCCGGGCCCCCGCACACCCACUGUCUGCCCGCGAGCCACGUGCGACCACAAGCUUCUGAGAACAGGGAAAGCAGGUCUCAUCCACCUGGUCCAGCCACGAGGAAGCUGCGAACAUACACCAGUGGUCGGCCCCCCUCGAGCCAGCCCCUGCCCCCCGCACACGAUCCUUACCAACUGUAAAUCAACUCAUUGUGAAAGUGCAAGAAAGUACAAGAUAAUCGGAAUCACCCAUAAUACCACAUUCAAACACAGCCACUCUUCACCUGAUGGCAGAUUGCCUUCCAAGGUGUUUGUUAUUUAUAAAUUAUAAUUAUUCUACAUAAAAAAUUUUUCCCUGAAAAAACCUCUAUUUUUUUCCUGUUAGUAUUAUAAUUUAACAUUAUAUUUUCAUGUUAUUGCACAUAUUUAUAUUUCACAUUUCCUGCUAUUUCAUAGGUUUACUGAAUUUCCUUUUUAACUGUUGCAUAACAAUUCUUCCAC